AGAAGUCGGUAUUCUAACCGCAAGGAGAAAGCCGCCCAAGGUAGGAUUGAUGAUUAGGGUGAAGUCGUAACAAGGUAUCCGUACGAGAACGUGCGGAUGGAUCACCUCCUUUCUAUGGAGUUAAUACUUUAUAGUAAUUAACUAGUUUUAAUGACCGUUAUGUUUAGUUUUCAGAGAUUAGUUUCUCUGACAAUAACAAGUAAAUGUUAUUGGAAUUGUUCUUUGAAAACUGGAUAAUAGACAUCUAGUUAUUUUAAUCAAGUGAUUAAAAUAACAAUAAUUCAAAAUUUCUGUUAUUUUUAAAAAAUAACUAAAAUUUCACAGUUAUAUUUGUAAAUAAUUCUCAAAAAACUGAUUUAAAAUCAGGUCAAAUAAUUUAUAAAACUUUGAAGUUACAAAGGG
RNAcentral lists this unclassified non-coding RNA (402 nucleotides) under Spiroplasma endosymbiont of Drosophila aldrichi. RNAcentral describes it as "partial contains 16S ribosomal RNA, 16S-23S ribosomal RNA intergenic spacer, and 23S ribosomal RNA". The stretch from base 1 to 112 matches the Rfam family "Bacterial small subunit ribosomal RNA", at positions 1422 to 1533 of the family's 1533-position model. The record is from RNAcentral. RNAcentral also lists the same sequence under 1 other name. Lineage: Bacteria; Bacillati; Mycoplasmatota; Mollicutes; Entomoplasmatales; Spiroplasmataceae.